This 305-nucleotide ribosomal RNA is filed under the name uncultured bacterium. RNAcentral describes it as "bacterial SSU rRNA". It matches the Rfam family "Bacterial small subunit ribosomal RNA", at positions 337 to 634 of the family's 1533-position model. The record is from RNAcentral.
GCCUACGGGGGGCAGCAGUAGGGAAUCUUCCGCAAUGGGCGAAAGCCUGAUGUAGCAACGCCGCUUGGGUGAAGAAGGUCUUCGGAUCGUAAAACCCUGUUGUUAGAGAAGAAAGUGCGUGAGAGUAACUGUUCACGUUUCGACGGUAUCUAACCAGAAAGCCACGGCUAACUACGUGCCAGCAGCCGCGGUAAUACGUAGGUGGCAAGCGUUAUCCGGAUUUAUUGGGCGUAAAGGGAACGCAGGCGGUCUUUUAAGUCUGAUGUGAAAGCCUUCGGCUUAACCGGAGUAGUGCAUUGGAAACU